Molecule: ribosomal RNA, 462 nt
Filed under: uncultured bacterium
Lineage: Bacteria
Description: partial 16S ribosomal RNA
Rfam family: Bacterial small subunit ribosomal RNA
Source: RNAcentral
GACGAACGCUGGCGGCGUGCUUAACACGUGCAAGUCGAACGGAAAGGCCCUUCGGGGUACUCGAGUGGCGAACGGGUGAGUAACACGUGGGUGAUCUGCCCUGCACUUUGGGAUAAGCCUGGGAAACUGGGUCUAAUACCGAAUAGGACCACGCGCUUCAUGGUGUGUGGUGGAAAGCUUUUGCGGUGUGGGAUGGGCCCGCGGCCUAUCAGCUUGUUGGUGGGGUAAUGGCCUACCAAGGCGACGACGGGUAGCCGGCCUGAGAGGGUGACCGGCCACACUGGGACUGAGAUACGGCCCAGACUCCUACGGGAGGCAGCAGUGGGGAAUAUUGCACAAUGGGCGCAAGCCUGAUGCAGCGACGCCGCGUGAGGGAUGACGGCCUUCGGGUUGUAAACCUCUUUCAAUAGGGACGAAGCGCAAGUGACGGUACCUAUAGAAGAAGCACCGGCCAACUACGUG